CGCUGGCGGCGUGCUUAACACAUGCAAGUCGAACGGAAAGGCCUUGUGCUUGCACAAGGUACUCGAGUGGCGAACGGGUGAGUAACACGUGGGUGAUCCGCCCUGCACUGUGGGAUAAGCCUGGGAAACUGGGUCUAAUACCAUAUAGGACCGCAUCUUGGAUGGUGUGGUGGAAAGCUUUUGCGGUGUGGGAUGAGCCUGCGGCCUAUCAGCUUGUUGGUGGGGUAAUGGCCUACCAAGGCGGCGACGGGUAUCCGGCCUGAGAGGGUGUACGGACACAUUGGGACUGAGAUACGGCCCAGACUCCUACGGGAGGCAGCAGUGGGGAAUAUUGCACAAUGGGCGCAAGCCUGAUGCAGCGACGCCGCGUGGGGGAUGAAGGCCUUCGGGUUGUAAACUCCUUUCGCUAUCGACGAAGCCACUUGUGGUGACGGUAGGUAGAUAAGAAGCACCGGCUAACUACGUGCCAGCAGCCGCGGUAAUACGUAGGGUGCAAGCGUUGUCCGGAAUUACUGGGCGUAAAGAGCUCGUAGGUGGUUUGUCGCGUCGUCUGUGAAAUCCCGGGGCUUAACUUCGGGCGUGCAGGUGAUACGGGCAUAACUUGAGUGCUGUAGGGGAGACUGGAAUUCCUGGUGUAGCGGUGAAAUGCGCAGAUAUCAGGAGGAACACCGAUGGCGAAGGCAGGUCUCUGGGCAGUUACUGACGCUGAGGAGCGAAAGCAUGGGUAGCGAACAGGAUUAGAUACCCUG
Molecule: ribosomal RNA, 749 nt
Filed under: uncultured bacterium
Lineage: Bacteria
Description: bacterial SSU rRNA
Rfam family: Bacterial small subunit ribosomal RNA
Source: RNAcentral